RNAcentral lists this ribosomal RNA (232 nucleotides) under uncultured bacterium. Its description in RNAcentral is "partial 16S ribosomal RNA". It matches the Rfam family "Bacterial small subunit ribosomal RNA", at positions 103 to 334 of the family's 1533-position model. The record is from RNAcentral.
CGGGUGAGUAACGCGUGAGGAACCUGCCUCAAAGAGGGGGACAACAGUUGGAAACGACUGCUAAUACCGCAUAAGCCCACGGCUCGGCAUCAGCAGAGGGAAAAGGAGCAAUCCGCUUUGAGAUGGCCUCGCGUCCGAUUAGCUAGUUGGUGAGGUAAUGGCCCACCAAGGCAACGAUCGGUAGCCGGACUGAGAGGUUGAACGGCCACAUUGGGACUGAGACACGGCCCAG